UUAUUUUAAUGUGUGCCAUAUAGUUCUGUGUCAUAAAAUGUUUUUGUUAAGCAUGGUUACCUACACAAUUUAUAAUCUUUUAAAUCGUAUAAGUGAACAAAAUAUGAACAAUUAAUAAUCAAAUUUUGUUAGAAUAUAUUCAAUGAAAAUUGAAAUUUUAACUUCUUGUCCUAAAAAAACCUAAAUACCAUUAUAAAUAACCAAACAAAUACUUAAAUUUAUUGGCCAUAACUGUGGACUAAUAUCACUUGCUAAUAGGGCUGUGGCUCUGUAAAAUAAUUUUUAAGUGUAGUAAAUAAGUUAUUUUUCUUAGUACACUUUAAUUUAAAGUGAGUUUGAGUGAUGAUAAUAAUUAUAUUACUUGUAUUAUAUGACUAUAAAUAUUAUUAAAGUAACUAAAUUAAAAAGUAAUAAGUGCUGAGUACUAAAAAAAUUAUAUUGCAUAACUGAUAACAUAUGUUUUAGUCCUGAUAACUAUGAAGUCAUAACUAAAUUUGUUGGUAAAUAUGACAAACGUUAUAGCAUGGAAAAAUAAAAGCUAAGUAUUCUUAUAGCAAUUAUAUAACAUAGUUCAUUCUACUAUUUUUAAGAUGAAAAUAACUUUUGUUUUCUCUUUCUCUCACUAUGCAUUGAAGCGCUUGUACACAUAAUCAUGCAGAUUUAUAUAAUAAAUUAGGCAAAGGUUUGAUUGGCGUUAUGUGUAUCCCACCGACUUCCACAGCAGCUGGUACUAGCGGUUUAGAUUCCAACAUUGUGAAAUGAGUGUUAACCAUAAUCAAACUAGCAUUCAAAAUUAAUUGGUCCAAUGAAACUUCAAUGUCAAGUUUUUGUUUGAUGAUUGCUUCGUCUCUUGUCCGACGAAACAGUUUAUAACCAAGCCAGUUAAUGUUGAAGGUAUAUUGGCUAACGAAUAUGGCUGUCCAAUCGCAUGCUGAUUCCAGGGUAACAUGUUGCAAGAACUCAGUAGUAUAAAAGCGGAUAGUUAGUAAUAAUAGUGAUGUUGUGUCCUCGGUUGGCAAGUUCUAGGAUGUAUGGCUGGUAAACAACAUUGUGACUAAAGCCUUGAUGAGGAAACACAGCUAAGAUGUUGG
Long non-coding RNA from Myzus persicae (green peach aphid), 1091 nucleotides. RefSeq lists it as uncharacterized. The transcript has 4 exons. The record is from RefSeq and is a predicted model, not a curated record. NCBI's taxonomy places the organism in Eukaryota, Metazoa, Arthropoda, Insecta, Hemiptera, Aphididae.